This 433-nucleotide ribosomal RNA is filed under the name uncultured bacterium. Its description in RNAcentral is "partial 16S ribosomal RNA". It matches the Rfam family "Bacterial small subunit ribosomal RNA", at positions 29 to 507 of the family's 1533-position model. The record is from RNAcentral.
AACGAACGCUGGCGGCAUGCCUAACACAUGCAAGUCGAACGAGACCUUCGGGUCUAGUGGCGCACGGGUGCGUAACGCGUGGGAACCUUCCCUUAGGUUCGGAAUAACUCCCCGAAAGGGGUGCUAAUACCGGAUAAUGUCUUCGGACCAAAGAUUUAUCGCCUUUGGAUGGGCCCGCGUUGGAUUAGCUAGUUGGUAGGGUAAAAGCCUACCAAGGCGACGAUCCAUAGCUGGUCUGAGAGGAUGAUCAGCCACACUGGGACUGAGACACGGCCCAGACUCCUACGGGAGGCAGCAGUGGGGAAUAGUGGACAAUGGGCGAAAGCCUGAUCCAGCAAUGCCGCGUGAGUGAUGAAGGCCUUAGGGUUGUAAAGCUCUUUUACCCGGGAUGAUAAUGACAGUACCGGGAGAAUAAGCUCCGGCUAACUCCGUG